Symphalangus syndactylus (siamang) is the source of this 3504-nucleotide long non-coding RNA. RefSeq lists it as uncharacterized. The record is from RefSeq and is a predicted model, not a curated record. NCBI's taxonomy places the organism in Eukaryota, Metazoa, Chordata, Mammalia, Primates, Hylobatidae.
AUUGGUGGGCAGCGUAUGCUCCCGCGUCGACAGCUCUGUUUCGCCUUCUGGUCCCCGUAGCUCUGCAGGGGAACAGGAUCGCUGGCGCCUCCUGGGCCGAUAAGCGACCCGGGGCUGCCCGGCUUAGCGAGUGCUUCGCAAGAUCGCCCAGCGAGGGGUAGCCGAGUCGAGGCAGCGCGGUUCCCAAGGCAGCCACGGCUGCGCCCAUCCUCCAGUUCGGACCUCUGGGCAGCCGCGGUUGCUUUCAGUCUCUGCUCCUUGAGACAAAAGAGCGUGACAAGCCGCGCGACGCGGCCAAUCAGCGGGGCGAGGGGGCGGCCUCCCCAAGCAGCCUCUGGCCCCGACGCUACUGCUAGCAAGACUCGGGAGCUGGCGGGCGGGAGCUGAGGCUGACAGGCACGGGAGCCGGCGCGGCGUCAAGUGGAGCUCGGACGCACGGACCAGGCCCAUUUCCCUUUCAGCUGUCGUAGAUCUAGCAGUGAGAACUUCUCACUGAAUGCCACAGAAAUUAAAGACACAGUUGUUGGAGGUAUGGUGUCAGACAGCAUUUGUCACCAAGGUUGGCAGAAAAUGGCUGGUCCAGGAGAGCUGAAGAUGAAUUUCCACAUCUGCAGAUCGGGAUGUGUUGGGACAGUACUCAACUUGUGGAUUCAAGGAAGUAUGAACACAGAGUCUGCAUAAGGAAAGGAAAAAGAUGCAUUUAUCUCCCAAGUACGCUGGUGAUUUCCACUUAUGACAUUCUGUCCAUCCAUGUCCCUUUCUUCAUUUUAACUUCUUAUUUAAAAAUAAUUUCAAACAUUUAAAAAUGUUGCAAGCAUAAAUAAAGCUUAAAGAACACCCAUGUACCCUUUACCCAAAUUCCCCUAUUAUUAACGUUUUUCCCCAUUUGCUUUAUUAUGUAAGUGUGCACUCUGUCUAUACACACACAGAAUAUUUUUUCCCUGAACUAUCUGUGAAUUGCAUACAUCAAUUUUCAAUAUUCCUCGCUUCAAUGUUUGUAGAUCCGAAUUCUUUUAAAAAAGGCUGUGUUUUAUCUCUAUGACAAUGGGACCGUUAUUACAGAAUAUUAUAAAAUGAAAACUCACAUGGUAUAUGUGAUGUUGUGAAAUAUAUAUUUGCUCUUCAAUCCUGUUUCCUGGCAUACGACUCCUAACAUCCUUAGAAUUUCCAAAGUGAUAUCUUUUUGUAUGCUAAUAAUUGACUGAUGGCUGGCAGCCUCUGGUUGCUUCAGGAUGGGAACUGGUCACCAGAAAGACUAAGGCACCAUUAGAGGGUUGGGACUUAACAGCCUCAUUCCCAACCUCCAGGGAGGGGAGAGGGGUGGAAGAUUAAGUUGAUCGCCAGUGGCCAAUGAUUUAAUCAAUCAUACCUGUGUAAUGGAGCUUCUAUAAAAUCCCCAAGGGACUGGGUUUGGAGAGCUUCCAUAUAGCUGAAUAUAUGGAGGUUCCUGGAGGGUGGUGACCCAAGGAGGGCAUGGAAGCUCUGAGCCCCUUCCCCAGUACCUCACCCUAUGCAUCUCUUCAUCUCUGUCCUUUGCAAUAUCCUUUAUAAUAAACUGGUCAACGUUAGGUAUUUCCCUGAGUUCUGUGAGCCUUUCUGACAAAUUAAUCAAACCCAAAGAGGAUGUCAUGUGAACCCAAACUUGAAGCCCAUCUGUCAGAAGUUCUGGAGGCCUGGAUUUGCGACUGGUGUCUGAAGGGCCUGGGAACAGUCUUGUGAGACCUAGUCCUCAGCUUGUGGGAUAGGAUGCUAUCUCCAGGUAGAUUUGUGUCAGAAUUGAAUUGGAGUACACCCAGCUUGUGUUUGCUGCAGAACUGAUUGCUCACUUAGUGUGUGGGAAAACUCCACACAUUUGAACAUGGAAAUAUUCUUUGUUGAUUGCCAUGAUGUGAGAGCAAAGGAAAAAGUUUGUGUGUUUUCCCCUCAGAGCAUAUUUUAAAGCUAAAUUGCUAAUAAUUGCUUAAAUUUACUAUAUUUGCCUUUAUAAAAACUUUACAUUAUGUAUGUUCAAAGCUUGAAGCUAUUCAAUUAUAAUAUAAACGUUAUAUUAUAUUUACAACUGCAGCAUGUUAUAAUUUAAAUAAUUGAGUUAUACAAAUUGAUUCAUAUAAAAUCCUAGGCAAUAUUGUAAAAUUUUACAGACUUGUCAACUUUUCCCACUUAAAUCUUCUGAGCAAAAUUUAAGGGUGUAGUAGUUUUCAAGUAAUUUCAAAUGUCAAUAUUAAUGUUUAGUUUUGUGAUGUUUAUGUGGGCAUAUUUUCUGAUAUUAAAAAAAUGACUUUUAGGACUUGAGAUCAAUAAAAUAAGGAGGUAAUAAAUACCUACAUCUGUUUAAAGACAUAAAAUAUACAAUUUAACACUAAAGCUACUUGGUAUAAAAAGUCAAAAGAAAAAGAAUAAAAAGCCAUCCCAAAACACAAUAUAUGCAUGAUAUAUAUUUUUGUCUAAAUGUAAACUACAUCAGCUUUUCUAGAGCUCAAGUUGAAAUAAUAAAUAACUAAUGUUUUAUGACAAAUUAUUACAUGGUUUAUUUAGACUUAAUUUUGCUUUUACAACUUAUUUUUAAACAUUAAAUAGCAUUAUAAUUUUACUGGGAUAACGACAUAUAGUGUAGUACAUUAAAGUUAUAUAUAAAAUAAUGUUGCAUAUGAGAGAAAAAGCAUAAUAAAUCAGAAACUAUAUAAAGCUUUCAUAAAAUAAUAGGAUAAAAAUACUGUAUUUCUCUAGUCUGUUCACUCUCCAGUGUCCCUGGUUCUUUCAUAUCAUCUUUCUUCCCUCAAAUCUUUUAAUAUACCCUCCCUCAUCAUUUCCAACUAGUGACCUUGCUUUCUAUUUCUUUAAGAAAAGAGAUACACUCAGACGAGAAUUGCCAGUUUAAAGAACACUUAUAAAGCUAUCACCCAUGUAAUAACCAGCCCGGGCAAGAAAUAGAGCCCUUUAAUAACCUACUCCUCUCCCUACUCCAAUGAUGAUAUCCCUCCUUCCAUCUUAGGGGUAGCCCCCAUGCUGACUUUUGUGAUAAUCAUUUCUUUGCUUUUGUUUAUAGAUUUUCUUCCUUAUAAGCAUCCCUAACCAACAGUUUUGUUUUACAUAUGUUUGAACAUUAUAUGCUUUAUAAACUUGGAAUUGUGACUAUCUUGUUUCACUCCACAUUGCUUGUGAGACUCAUCGAUAUUGCAGAUAGCUGUAGUUGAUCCAUUUUUAUUGUUGUACAGUUUACCAUUGUACCAUAAUUUAUUCAUGAUAAGUUUGAGGGUCAUUCUGGUUGUUUGCAGGGUUUUCUUUUUUUUUUUUUUUUACAGUUUAUUAGUUUUAUUGAUGCAUAACAAUUGUAUAUGUUUCUGGGGUACAUUUGAUAUUUUGAUACAUGCGUACAAUAUGUAAUGAUCAAAUCAAGGUAAUUGGGAUAUCCAUCAGCUCAAAUUUAUCAUUUCUUUGUGUGAGAAACAUUCUAAAUCUCUUCUAGCUAUUUUGAAAUACACAAUAAAUUGAAUGCUGUGGUCA